RNAcentral lists this ribosomal RNA (279 nucleotides) under uncultured soil bacterium. RNAcentral's name for it is "partial 16S ribosomal RNA". It matches the Rfam family "Bacterial small subunit ribosomal RNA", at positions 26 to 285 of the family's 1533-position model. The record is from RNAcentral.
AGAAUCAACGCUGGCGGCGUGCCUCAGACAUGCAAGUCGAACGAUUAAACUUCCCUUCGGGGAAGAUAUAGAGUGGCGCACGGGUGAGUAACACGUGGGUAAUUUACCUUUGGGUGGGGAACAACAGCCGGAAACGGCUGCUAAUACCGCAUAAUGCAGCGGCAUCAAAUGAUGACAGUUGUUAAAGCGGGGGAUCGCGAGACCUCGCGCCUAAAAGAGAAGCCCGCGGCGGAUUAGCUAGUUGGUAAGGUAAUGGCUUACCAAGGCAAACGAUCUGUA